AACGCACCUUGCACCCUUUGGUAUUCCGAAGGGUACGCCCGUUUGAGUGUCAUUGUAAUCUCACUACGAUCGACUUUUUGUCUUUUUGUAUGUGGACUUGGAUGUUGUCGUGAAUAAACAAACGGCUCGUCUGAAAUGCCUGAGUGUACCCCGCUUUGCGGCGUAUUCGGUGUGAUACAUCUUCACCGGAGUUGAUCCCUUUACCGGGGUCGCGUCUGUAAUGGUGUGGCUCUAUGCUUCCAACUGUCUUCUUAUCGAGACAAAUCUCUGACAAUUUGACCUCAAAUCGGGUGGGACUACCCGCUGAACUUAA
RNAcentral lists this unclassified non-coding RNA (313 nucleotides) under uncultured Sebacinales. RNAcentral's name for it is "sequence contains ITS2". Lineage: Eukaryota; Fungi; Basidiomycota; Agaricomycetes; Sebacinales. The record is from RNAcentral.